Molecule: ribosomal RNA, 253 nt
Filed under: Rhodospirillales bacterium
Lineage: Bacteria; Pseudomonadati; Pseudomonadota; Alphaproteobacteria; Rhodospirillales
Also listed under: 1 other name
Description: partial 16S ribosomal RNA
Rfam family: Bacterial small subunit ribosomal RNA
Source: RNAcentral
UACGGAGGGGGCGAGCGUUGUUCGGAAUUACUGGGCGUAAAGCGCGCGUAGGCGGUGCGAUGAGUCAGGCGUGAAAGGCCCGGGCUCAACCUGGGGACUGCGUUUGAUACUGUCGCACUUGAGUCCAGGAGAGGGUGGCGGAAUUCCCAGUGUAGAGGUGAAAUUCGUAGAUAUUGGGAAGAACACCGGUGGCGAAGGCGGUCACCUGGUCUGGAACUGACGCUGAGGCGCGAAAGCGUGGGGAGCAAACAGG